Molecule: long non-coding RNA, 285 nt
Organism: Alosa alosa (allis shad)
Lineage: Eukaryota; Metazoa; Chordata; Actinopteri; Clupeiformes; Clupeidae
Exons: 2
Source: RefSeq, a predicted model, not a curated record
UUGUGUUAACAAGAUAUAAAAAAUAUGUACAACUUCAACUUUACUGUUCCACAUUUAUGACUUUAGUGUGCACAUGCAAAAUCUGCAGUUAAAUGUGCUCGCCACUUUUGCACCCAAUAUACCUUCAUAGACUUCAACUGUCACUUUUCUGUCCUGUCAUGCAUCUGACUUUGUAAGCUGUACAAACUCUGCUGUCAUCAUAUCCAAGGUGGUGAUUUGUGAGGACUGCUGCCCUGAGAACACUGAGUGCAUUCUGCCAAAUCAAUGUGUGCCACUUCCAUACAG